UCUCGCGUGGAGCAAACCCGGGAACUCACUCCUUUCCAGUCCGCAUGACUCGGUGAACAUUUCUGGGAGAGUCGGUGGUUCGAAUCCACCCGCGAAAC
This is a non-coding RNA of Mycena filopes, 98 nucleotides long. Lineage: Eukaryota; Fungi; Basidiomycota; Agaricomycetes; Agaricales; Mycenaceae. The record is from the annotation of a GenBank genome assembly.